GCCGGCAUAGCUCAGUUGGUAGAGCAACGGUUUUGUAAACCGAAGGUCGGGGGUUCGAGUCCCUCUGCCGGCA
RNAcentral lists this transfer RNA (73 nucleotides) under Burkholderiaceae bacterium. Its description in RNAcentral is "tRNA-Thr". It matches the Rfam family "tRNA". Rfam says of the family: Transfer RNA (tRNA) molecules are approximately 80 nucleotides in length. Their secondary structure includes four short double-helical elements and three loops (D, anti-codon, and T loops). The record is from RNAcentral. Lineage: Bacteria; Pseudomonadati; Pseudomonadota; Betaproteobacteria; Burkholderiales; Burkholderiaceae.